Zophobas morio is the source of this 453-nucleotide long non-coding RNA. RefSeq lists it as uncharacterized. The transcript has 7 exons. The record is from RefSeq and is a predicted model, not a curated record. NCBI's taxonomy places the organism in Eukaryota, Metazoa, Arthropoda, Insecta, Coleoptera, Tenebrionidae.
GUUUAAUUUGGAAUUAGAUGAUUCUUAUAUUGAUCUUUUCUCUUCGAAAUAUACAAAUAAAGAUUUUCUUCUUUGUCACGACGAUCGACUUGAAAGCCGAGCAAUUGCCUUUAUCUUUUAUUUGGUGCCUGAAUCCUGGCCGGACCAAGAUGGCGGCGCUUUAGAGCUUUUUAGUUGUAGCGAUCUUUAUGUUCCUGAAAAUGUUGUUAAGCGGAUUGUUCCGGAAAAAAACUCCGUGAUUUUGUUUGCGGUGAGUAAAAAGUCAUUCCAUCAGGUUUCUGAGGUUGUUUCUGAUAAAGCGAGAAUAUCAAUAGGCGGCUGGUUUCAUUAUAAGCAUCGAAAGAGCACCGCAGACGACCUUCAGAAUCAAGAACAUUGUCCGAUCGCACUUUCUUAUGAACUUCCUAUAGAAAACCACCAUGUUACCCUGGAGGAGUGGAUCAACGCGCCUUA